Long non-coding RNA from Gigantopelta aegis, 306 nucleotides. RefSeq lists it as uncharacterized. The record is from RefSeq and is a predicted model, not a curated record. NCBI's taxonomy places the organism in Eukaryota, Metazoa, Mollusca, Gastropoda, Neomphalida, Peltospiridae. The transcript has 3 exons.
AGUAUCAAGUGUGCUCUUAAAUCAGGAAUUGCAGGACUUGAGAAAGGUUUUACAGGACAUAUCAAACACACUGGAAAAGCUUUCCAGUCGUCAGAUUGUUGCUGGAACUGAGGACAAAUUUCACGAUGUUAUGGGCCACUUUAUAGCGGAGGCAUCUGAUGAUGUUCAGAGCAUACUCCGUCUCCAGGCCACCGCGAUGGAUGAGUUUCACCCUGUUACUGCGUACUUAGGAGAGGACUCCAAAAAAAUGGGAACCAGCGAAUUAUUUGGGAUAUUUUCCGACUUUCUUAUUAAGUUUGAGGUGUG